Molecule: ribosomal RNA, 419 nt
Filed under: bacterium
Lineage: Bacteria
Description: partial 16S ribosomal RNA
Rfam family: Bacterial small subunit ribosomal RNA
Source: RNAcentral
UGGGGGAUAUUGCACAAUGGGCGAAAGCCUGAUGCAGCGACGCCGCGUGGGGGAUGAAGGCCUUCGGGUUGUAAACUUCUUUUGCUCUGAACAAGGCGCACCAUGGGGUGUGUUGAGUGUAGGGGUUGAUUAGCGCCGGCUAACUACGUGCCAGCAGCCGCGGUAAUACGUAGGGCGCGAGCGUUGUCCGGACUUAUUGGGCGUAAAGGGCUUGUAGGUGGCUGGUUGCGUCUGUCGUGAAAGCUCAUGGCUUAACUGUGGGUUUGCGGUGGGUACGGGCUGGCUUGAGUGCAGUAGGGGAGGCUGGAAUUCCUGGUGUAGCGGUGGAAUGCGCAGAUAUCAGGAGGAAUACCGGUGGCGAAGGCGGGUCUCUGGGCUGUUACUGACACUGAGGAGCGAAAGCAUGGGGAGCGAACAGG